UGGGAAUAACAGCUGGAAACAGCUGCUAAUACCGCAUAAUAUAUCUGUGUCGCAUGGCACUGGAUAUCAAAGAUUUAUCGCUCUGAGAUGGACUCGCGUCUGAUUAGCUGGUUGGCGGGGUAACGGCCCACCAAGGCGACGAUCAGUAGCCGGACUGAGAGGUUGGCCGGCCACAUUGGGACUGAGACACGGCCCAGACUCCUACGGGAGGCAGCAG
RNAcentral lists this ribosomal RNA (217 nucleotides) under uncultured bacterium. Its description in RNAcentral is "partial 16S ribosomal RNA". It matches the Rfam family "Bacterial small subunit ribosomal RNA", at positions 138 to 354 of the family's 1533-position model. The record is from RNAcentral.